RNAcentral lists this transfer RNA (56 nucleotides) under Prymnesium polylepis. Its description in RNAcentral is "partial tRNA". It matches the Rfam family "tRNA", at positions 7 to 60 of the family's 71-position model. Rfam says of the family: Transfer RNA (tRNA) molecules are approximately 80 nucleotides in length. Their secondary structure includes four short double-helical elements and three loops (D, anti-codon, and T loops). Further hydrogen bonds mediate the characteristic L-shaped molecular structure. tRNAs have two regions of fundamental functional importance: the anti-codon, which is responsible for specific mRNA codon recognition, and the 3' end, to which the tRNAs corresponding amino acid is attached (by aminoacyl-tRNA synthetases). tRNAs cope with the degeneracy of the genetic code in two manners: having more than one tRNA (with a specific anti-codon) for a particular amino acid; and 'wobble' base-pairing, i.e. permitting non-standard base-pairing at the 3rd anti-codon position. Lineage: Eukaryota; Haptophyta; Prymnesiales; Prymnesiaceae. The record is from RNAcentral.
AUAAAUUAAUUGGUAGAUUAACUGCUUUGCAAGCAGUAGGUUGUUGGUUCAAGUCC